GAUGAAGAACGUAGCGAAAUGCGAUACUUGGUGUGAAUUGCAGAAUCCCGUGAACCAUCGAGUCUUUGAACGCAAGUUGCGCCCGAAGCCAUUUGGUUGAGGGCACGGCUGCCUGGGCGUCACAUAUCGUUGCCCGAUGCCUAUUUCACUGUGAUAGGAAAUUCUAGGGCGAAAGAUGACUUCCCGUGAGCGUUGUUGCCUCGCGGUUGGUUGAAAAUCGAGUCCUUGGUAGGGUGUGCCAUGAUAGAUGGUGGUCGAGUUUGCACGAGACCGAUCAUGUGUGCGCUCCCCAAAAUAUGGACUCUUUGACCCCACACGCGUCUUUUGACGCUCAUGACGAGACCUCAGGUCAGGCGGGGCUACCGGCUGAGUUUAAGCAUAUCAAUAAGCGGAGGA
RNAcentral lists this unclassified non-coding RNA (396 nucleotides) under soil metagenome. RNAcentral's name for it is "partial contains 5.8S ribosomal RNA, internal transcribed spacer 2, and large subunit ribosomal RNA". The stretch from base 1 to 122 matches the Rfam family "5.8S ribosomal RNA", at positions 35 to 154 of the family's 154-position model. The record is from RNAcentral.